This 255-nucleotide ribosomal RNA is filed under the name Escherichia coli. RNAcentral describes it as "partial 16S ribosomal RNA". It matches the Rfam family "Bacterial small subunit ribosomal RNA", at positions 145 to 402 of the family's 1533-position model. The record is from RNAcentral. Lineage: Bacteria; Pseudomonadati; Pseudomonadota; Gammaproteobacteria; Enterobacterales; Enterobacteriaceae.
AACUACUGGAAACGGUAGCUAAUACCGCAUAACGUCGCAAGACCAAAGAGGGGGACCUUCGGGCCUCUUGCCAUCGGAUGUGCCCAGAUGGGAUUAGCUAGUAGGUGGGGUAACGGCUCACCUAGGCAACGAUCCCUAGCUGGUCUGAGAGGAUGACCAGCCACACUGGAACUGAGACACGGUCCAGACUCCUACGGGAGGCAGCAGUGGGGAAUAUUGCACAAUGGGCGCAAGCCUGAUGCAGCCAUGCCGCGU